This 1371-nucleotide ribosomal RNA is filed under the name uncultured bacterium. RNAcentral's name for it is "bacterial SSU rRNA". It matches the Rfam family "Bacterial small subunit ribosomal RNA", at positions 28 to 1381 of the family's 1533-position model. The record is from RNAcentral.
GAUGAACGCUGGCGGCGUGCCUAAUACAUGCAAGUCGAGCGAACGGACGAGAAGCUUGCUUUUCUGAUGUUAGCGGCGGACGGGUGAGUAACACGUGGAUAACCUACCUAUAAGACUGGGAUAACUUCGGGAAACCGGAGCUAAUACCGGAUAAUAUUUUGAACCGCAUGGUUCAAAAGUGAAAGACGGCCNUGCUGUCACUUAUAGAUGGAUCCGCGCUGCAUUAGCUAGUUGGUAAGGUAACGGCUUACCAAGGCAACGAUGCAUAGCCGACCUGAGAGGGUGAUCGGCCACACUGGAACUGAGACACGGUCCAGACUCCUACGGGAGGCAGCAGUAGGGAAUCUUCCGCAAUGGGCGAAAGCCUGACGGAGCAACGCCGCGUGAGUGAUGAAGGUCUUCGGAUCGUAAAACUCUGUUAUUAGGGAAGAACAUAUGUGUAAGUAACUGUGCACAUCUUGACGGUACCUAAUCAGAAAGCCACGGCUAACUACGUGCCAGCAGCCGCGGUAAUACGUAGGUGGCAAGCGUUAUCCGGAAUUAUUGGGCGUAAAGCGCGCGUAGCGGUUUUUUAAGUCUGAUGUGAAAGCCCACGGCUCAACCGUGGAGGGUCAUUGGAAACUGGAAAACUUGAGUGCAGAAGAGGAAAGUGGAAUUCCAUGUGUAGCGGUGAAAUGCGCAGAGAUGUGGAGGAACACCAGUGGCGAAGGCGACUUUCUGGUCUGUAACUGACGCUGAUGUGCGAAAGCGUGGGGAUCAAACAGGAUUAGAUACCCUGGUAGUCCACGCCGUAAACGAUGAGUGCUAAGUGUUAGGGGGUUUCCGCCCCUUAGUGCUGCAGCUAACGCAUUAAGCACUCCGCCUGGGGAGUACGACCGCAAGGUUGAAACUCAAAGGAAUUGACGGGGGCCCGCACAAGCGGUGGAGCAUGUGGUUUAAUUCGAAGCAACGCGAAGAACCUUACCAAAUCUUGACAUCCUUUGACAACUCUAGAGAUAGAGCCUUCCCCUUCGGGGGACAAAGUGACAGGUGGUGCAUGGUUGUCGUCAGCUCGUGUCGUGAGAUGUUGGGUUAAGUCCCGCAACGAGCGCAACCCUUAAGCUUAGUUGCCAUCAUUAAGUUGGGCACUCUAAGUUGACUGCCGGUGACAAACCGGGGGAAGGUGGGGAUGACGUCAAAUCAUCAUGCCCCUUAUGAUUUGGGCUACACACGUGCUACAAUGGACAAUACAAAGGGCAGCGAAACCGCGAGGUCAAGCAAAUCCCAUAAAGUUGUUCUCAGUUCGGAUUGUAGUCUGCAACUCGACUACAUGAAGCUGGAAUCGCUAGUAAUCGUGGAUCAGCAUGCUACGGUGAAUACGUUCCCGGGUCU